CUACGGAGGGUGCAAGCGUUACUCGGAAUCACUGGGCGUAAAGCGCGCGCAGGCGGCGAUUUAAGUUGGAUGUGAAAGCCUACGGCUCAACCGUAGAACUGCAUCCAAAACUAUUUAGCUAGAGUGUGGGAGAGGAAGAUGGAAUUAGUUGUGUAGGGGUAAAAUCCGUAGAGAUAACUAGGAAUACCAAAAGCGAAGGCAAUCUUCUGGAACACUACUGACGCUGAGGCGCGAAAGCGUGGGGAGCAAACGGGAUUAGAAACCCCAGUAGUCC
Molecule: ribosomal RNA, 274 nt
Filed under: uncultured bacterium
Lineage: Bacteria
Description: partial 16S ribosomal RNA
Rfam family: Bacterial small subunit ribosomal RNA
Source: RNAcentral